Molecule: long non-coding RNA, 1136 nt
Organism: Amphiprion ocellaris (clown anemonefish)
Lineage: Eukaryota; Metazoa; Chordata; Actinopteri; Pomacentridae
Source: Ensembl
UUCUAACUCACCUCUCCUCUAUGAACGUCCACCGCUUGAUCUCUCAGCAUCUGAAACAAACAAACACAAGAGUAAAGCAGCACUUUGUUCUUUUUCCUCUUUCCUCUUACUUUGCUAUUUUCACACUUUGUUCUUUUUCCUCUUUUCUCACACUUUGCUAUUUUCCUCUUACUUUGCUAUUUUCUCACACUUUGCUAUUUUCUCACACUUUGCUCUUUUCUCACACUUUGCUCUUUUCUCACACUUUGCUAUUUUCACACUUUGUUCUUUUUCCUCUUUACUCUCUUUCCUCUUUUUUCACACUUUGCUAUUUUCUCACACUUUGCUAUUUUCACACUUUGUUCUUUUUCCUCUUUACUCUCUUUCCUCUUUUUUCACACUUUGCUAUUUUCACACUUUCCUAUUUUCCUCUUUCCUCUUACUUUGCUAUUUUCACACUUUGUUCUUUUUCCACACUUUGUUCUUUUUCUCUUUGUUCUUUCCUUAAACUUUCUUCUUUUUCCUCUCUUCUCUCUUUGCUUUUUUCUCACACUUUACUCUUUUCCUCUUUCCUACUUUUCUCUCUCUUCACACUUUACUCUUUGUUUUUCAGAAAAAUUGACGACAAUGCAGUUUGGACUCUUUUUUUUUUUUUUUUUUUUUUUUUUAUUUAGGUAAAAUUCCAUUAAGAAGAAGAAGAAGAAGAAGAAGAAGAAGAAGAAGAAGAAGAAGAAGAAGAAGAAGAAGAAGAAGAAGAAGAAGAAGAAGAAGAAGAAGAAGAAGAAGAAGAAGAAGAAGAAGAAGAAGAAGAAGAAGAAGAAGAAGAAGAAGAAGAAGAAGAAGAAGAAGAAGAAGAAGAAGAAGAAGAAGAAGAAGAAGAAGAAGAAGAAGAAGAAGCUCUGCUUCCACGGCACAUCCUCUGACACCUCCUAAAAGACAUGAACACAAAAGCAAACAAUCAACUACGCUGUCUUCAAUGUGUGACACCAUACAUAACAUUUUCUUGUUGUAACUCACCUCUGCCUGUCUCUGUCAGCCUCCUGAAACAAAUAAAAGACAAAUAUGAUCAAAGUCCCAUGUCUUCAAUCUAUGACAAAGCAAUGAAUAGAACUCAAAACACCCAUCACCUACACUGUGCAUGUUUCUAACUCACCUCU